GAAAAGAACGAGAAGAAACCAUAAAAGGAGAUAGAUUCAAAGAGAAAUAAGCCAUAGUGUGAGUAGCAAAAUGCAACUUCAACGAACAUGCUGAAAGUAGAUCGAAGCAAAAUGUGAGGCACAGAGCUUAACAUCUUCUAGAAUCAGACUGAUCCCAUUGAUGGUUGUCACUAUUGAUCCAUGAAGCCCAGUAGAGAGAAUCAAUUUCAACUAUAAUAUUAGAGAAGCCAUGUUCACAAGCCACCUGCAACCCGAACAAUAAACCCUUCCCUUCUGUCAUUCCACUUCACUCACCAAGCUCUUGCAAAAACUAGGAACCAAAACUAAAACACCCUUAUGGUCCCUAAAAACAACUCCAUAACUUGUUUUGCAUAAACAGGUAAAGAAAAAGGCAUCUGCAUUAAGCUUAAUAACUCUCAUAAGAGGAGGAUUCCAAUGAGCAGACUAUAAUACACAGGGAGUCGAGAGAUCUUGUUAGCCAUUAGAUAGUUCUUCCAAUAACUUCAUCGCAGAACUGUGGAUCUCCAGUGGGG
This 533-nucleotide unclassified non-coding RNA is filed under the name Hevea brasiliensis (rubber tree). The record is from RNAcentral. Lineage: Eukaryota; Viridiplantae; Streptophyta; Magnoliopsida; Malpighiales; Euphorbiaceae.